GACGAACGCUGGCGGCGUGCUUAACACAUGCAAGUCGAACGGAAAGGCCCUGCUUUUGUGGGUUGCUCGAUUGGCGAACGGGUGAGUAACACGUGAGUAACCUGCCCUUGACUUUGGGAUAACUUCAGGAAACUGGGGCUCAUACCGGAUAGGAUCUCCUGCUGCAUGUUGUGGGUUGGUAAGUUUCGGCGGUUGGGGAUGGACUCGCGGCUUAUCAGCUUGUUGGUGUGGUAGUGGCUUACCAAGGCUUUGACGGAUAGCCGGCCUGGGAGGGUGAACGGCCACAUUGGGACUGCGAUACGGACCAGAAUCCUACGGGAGGCAGCAGUGGGGAAUAUUGCACAAUGGGCGGACGCCUGAUGCAGCAACGCCGCGUGCGGGAUGACGGCCUUCGGGUUGUAAACCGCUUUCGCCUGUGACGAAGCGUGAGUGACGGUAAUGGGUAAAGAAGCAACGGCUAACUACGUG
Molecule: ribosomal RNA, 468 nt
Filed under: uncultured bacterium
Lineage: Bacteria
Description: partial 16S ribosomal RNA
Rfam family: Bacterial small subunit ribosomal RNA
Source: RNAcentral